Molecule: ribosomal RNA, 439 nt
Filed under: uncultured bacterium
Lineage: Bacteria
Description: partial 16S ribosomal RNA
Rfam family: Bacterial small subunit ribosomal RNA
Source: RNAcentral
CUACGGGUCGCACCAGUGGGGAAUAUUGGGCAAUGGAGGAAACUCUGACCCAGCAAUACCGCGUGGAGGAUGACGGAUUUCGGUUUGUAAACUCCUUUUAACUGAGAAGAUAAUGACGGUAUCAGUUGAAUAAGCACCGGCUAACUCCGUGCCAGCAGCCGUGGUAAUACGGAGGGUGCAAGCAUUACUCGGAAUCACUGGGCGUAAAGAGCGCGUAGGCGGCCCAUUAAGUCUUGUGUGAAAUCUUACGGCUUAACCGUAAAACUGCAUGGGAAACUGAUGGACUAGAGUACGGAAGAGGUAGGUGGAAUUCUCGGUGUAGGGGUAAAAUCCGUAGAUAUCGAGAGGAAUACCCAAUGCGAAGGCAACCUACUGGGACGUUACUGACGCUGAGGCGCGAAAGCGUGGGGAGCAAACAGGAUUAGAUACCCGCGUAGUC